GAACGCUAGCUACAGGCUUAACACAUGCAAGUCGAGGGGCAUCAGGAAGAAAGCUUGCUUUCUUUGCUGGCGACCGGCGCACGGGUGAGUAACACGUAUCCAACCUGCCCUUUACUCGGGGAUAGCCUUUCGAAAGAAAGAUUAAUACCCGAUAGCAUAAUGAUUCCGCAUGGUUUCAUUAUUAAAGGAUUCCGGUAAAGGAUGGGGAUGCGUUCCAUUAGGUUGUUGGUGAGGUAACGGCCCACCAAGCCUUCGAUGGAUAGGGGUUCUGAGAGGAAGGUCCCCCACAUUGGAACUGAGACACGGUCCAAACUCCUACGGGAGGCAGCAGUGAGGAAUAUUGGUCAAUGGGCGCUAGCCUGAACCAGCCAAGUAGCGUGAAGGAUGAAGGCUCUAUGGGUCGUAAACUUCUUUUAUAUAAGAAUAAAGUGCAGUAUGUAUACUGUUUUGUAUGUAUUAUAUGAAUAAGGAUCGGCUAACUCCGUGCCAGCAGCCGCGGUAAUACGGAGGGUCCGAGCGUUAUCCGGAUUUAUUGGGUUUAAAGGGAGCGUAGGUGGACUGGUAAGUCAGUUGUGAAAGUUUGCGGCUCAACCGUAAAAUUGCAGUUGAUACUGUCAGUCUUGAGUACAGUAGAGGUGGGCGGAAUUCGUGGUGUAGCGGUGAAAUGCUUAGAUAUCACGAAGAACUCCGAUUGCGAAGGCAGCUCACUGGACUGCAACUGACACUGAUGCUCGAAAGUGUGGGUAUCAAACAGGAUUAGAUACCCUGGUAGUCCACACAGUAAACGAUGAAUACUCGCUGUUUGCGAUAUACAGUAAGCGGCCAAGCGAAAGCAUUAAGUAUUCCACCUGGGGAGUACGCCGGCAACGGUGAAACUCAAAGGAAUUGACGGGGGCCCGCACAAGCGGAGGAACAUGUGGUUUAAUUCGAUGAUACGCGAGGAACCUUACCCGGGCUUAAAUUGCAGUGGAAUGAUGUGGAAACAUGUCAGUGAGCAAUCACCGCUGUGAAGGUGCUGCAUGGUUGUCGUCAGCUCGUGCCGUGAGGUGUCGGCUUAAGUGCCAUAACGAGCGCAACCCUUAUCUUUAGUUACUAACAGGUUAUGCUGAGGACUCUGGAGAGACUGCCGUCGUAAGAUGUGAGGAAGGUGGGGAUGACGUCAAAUCAGCACGGCCCUUACGUCCGGGGCUACACACGUGUUACAAUGGGGGGUACAGAAGGCAGCUAGCGGGUGACCGUAUGCUAAUCCCAAAAGCCUCUCUCAGUUCGGAUCGAAGUCUGCAACCCGACUUCGUGAAGCUGGAUUCGCUAGUAAUCGCGCAUCAGCCACGGCGCGGUGAAUACGUUCCCGGGCCUUGUACACACCGCCCGUCAAGCCAUGGGAGCCGGGGGUACCUGAAGUACGUAACCGCAAGGAUCGUCCUAGGGUAAAACUGGUGACUGGGGCUAA
This 1450-nucleotide ribosomal RNA is filed under the name uncultured organism. RNAcentral describes it as "SSU rRNA". It matches the Rfam family "Bacterial small subunit ribosomal RNA". The record is from RNAcentral.